RNAcentral lists this ribosomal RNA (407 nucleotides) under Vibrio cholerae. Its description in RNAcentral is "partial 23S ribosomal RNA". It matches the Rfam family "Bacterial large subunit ribosomal RNA", at positions 1 to 453 of the family's 2925-position model. The record is from RNAcentral. Lineage: Bacteria; Pseudomonadati; Pseudomonadota; Gammaproteobacteria; Vibrionales; Vibrionaceae.
UGUAUGGUUAAGUGACUAAGCGUACACGGUGGAUGCCUGGGCAGUCAGAGGCGAUGAAGGACGUACUAACUUGCGAUAAGCGCAGAUAAGGCAGUAAGAGCCGUUUGAGUCUGCGAUUUCCGAAUGGGGAAACCCAACUGCAUAAGCAGUUACUGUUAACUGAAUACAUAGGUUAACAGAGCAAACCGGGGGAACUGAAACAUCUAAGUACCCCGAGGAGAAGAAAUCAACCGAGAUUCCGGUAGUAGCGGCGAGCGAACCUGGAUUAGCCCUUAAGCACUCGGUGAAGUAGGUGAACAAGCUGGAAAGCUUGGCGAUACAGGGUGAUAGCCCCGUAACCGACGCUUCAUCGAGCGUGAAAUCGAGUAGGGCGGGACACGUGAUAUCCUGUCUGAAUAUGGGGGGAC